GACGAAGGAUCCAAGCGUUGUCCGGAUUUACUGGGUUUAAAGGGUGCGUAGGCGGAUAAAUAAGUCAGAGGUGAAAGCCUGCAGCUCAACUGUAGAAUUGCCUUUGAAACUGUUUAUCUAGAGUACACUUGAGGUGGCUGGAAUAUAUCAUGUAGCGGUGAAAUGCUUAGAUAUGAUAUAGAACACCAAUUGCGAAGGCAAGUCACUAAGAUGUAACUGACGCUGGGGCACGAAAGCGUGGGUAGCAAACAGG
RNAcentral lists this ribosomal RNA (253 nucleotides) under uncultured bacterium. RNAcentral's name for it is "partial 16S ribosomal RNA". It matches the Rfam family "Bacterial small subunit ribosomal RNA", at positions 524 to 776 of the family's 1533-position model. The record is from RNAcentral.